This 1288-nucleotide ribosomal RNA is filed under the name metagenome. RNAcentral's name for it is "bacterial LSU rRNA". It matches the Rfam family "Bacterial large subunit ribosomal RNA", at positions 1651 to 2925 of the family's 2925-position model. The record is from RNAcentral.
AAACCGACACAGGUAGGCGGGGAGAGAAUCCUAAGGUGCGCGGGAAAACCCUCGUUAAGGAACUCGGCAAAUUGCAUCCGUAACCUAGGGAGAAGGAUGGCCCCCGGUCAGUGAAGAGCAGAAACGCUCAGAGCUAAAAGGGGCGGCAGAAAAGAGGCCCAAGCAACUGUUUACCAAAAACACAGGUGCCUGCGAAAGCGAAAGCUGAAGUAUAGGUGCUGACGCCUGCCCGGUGCCGGAAGGUUAAGGAGAGGUGUGAGCGAAAGCGAAGCAUCGAACUGAAGCCCCGGUGAACGGCGGCCGUAACUAUAACGGUCCUAAGGUAGCGAAAUUCCUUGUCGGGUAAGUUCCGACCCGCAUGAAAGGCGUAAUGAUUUGGGCACUGUCUCAACGAGGGGCCCGGUGAAAUUGAAAUACCUGUGAAGAUGCAGGUUACCCGCGACUGGACAGAAAGACCCCAUGGAGCUUCACUGCAGCUUGAGAUUGAAUCCCGGUGACAGAUGCACAGGAUAGGUGGGAGGCGCCGAAGCAUUGCCCUAGGGCGGUGCGGAGCCGAUGUUGGGAUACCACCCUUCUGUUGCUGAGAUUCUAACGCGAGGAGUAACAACCCUGCGGACCCUCUCAGGCAGGCGGUUUGACUGGGGCGGUCGCCUCCGAAAGAGUAACGGAGGCGCCCAAAGGUUCCCUCAGGCCGGACAGAAACCGGCCGAAGAGUGCAAAGGCAGAAGGGAGCUUGACUGCGAGACCAACAAGUCGAGCAGAGACGAAAGUCGGGCUUAGUGAUCCGGUGGUACUGGGUGGAAAGGCCAUCGCUCAACGGAUAAAAGCUACCCUGGGGAUAACAGGCUAAUCUCUCCCAAGAGUUCAUAUCGACGGGGAGGUUUGGCACCUCGAUGUCGGCUCAUCACAUCCUGGGGCUGGAGUAGGUCCCAAGGGUUGGGCUGUUCGCCCAUUAAAGUGGUACGCGAGCUGGGUUCAAAACGUCGUGAGACAGUUUGGUUCAUAUCCAUCGCGGGCGCAAGAAGUUUGAGAGGAGCUGCUCCUAGUACGAGAGGACCGGAGUGGACGGAUCAACGGUGUCCCAGUUGUCACGCCAGUGGCACGGCUGGAAAGCCGCAUCCGGGAAGGAUAAACGCUGAAAGCAUCUAAGCGUGAAGCCAACCUCAAGAUGAGACUUCUCAUCAGCAAUGAGUAAGACCCCUUACAGACGAUGAGGUAGAUAGGUUAUGAGUGGAAGAGCCGCAAGGCUUGGAGCGACAUAAAACUAAUAGGUCGAGGUCUUAACUUA